CAGCCGCCACGGUAAUACGUAGGGUGCAAGCGUUAAUCGGAAUUACUGGGCGUAAAGCGUGCGCAGGCGGUUUGUUAAGACAGAUGUGAAAUCCCCGGGCUCAACCUGGGAACUGCAUUUGUGACUGGCAAGCUAGAGUGUGGCAGAGGGGGGUGGAAUUCCGCGUGUAGCAGUGAAAUGCGUAGAUAUGCGGAGGAACACCGAUGGCGAAGGCAGCCCCCUGGGCCAACACUGACGCUCAUGCACGAAAGCGUGGGGAGCAAACAGGAUUAGAUACCCCCGUAGUCCCUGUCUCUUAUAC
RNAcentral lists this ribosomal RNA (301 nucleotides) under uncultured bacterium. Its description in RNAcentral is "partial 16S ribosomal RNA". It matches the Rfam family "Bacterial small subunit ribosomal RNA", at positions 509 to 807 of the family's 1533-position model. The record is from RNAcentral.